AAUAAUAAUAAUGACAUUAAUAAAAAUAAUAAAAAUAAUAAAAAUAGUAGUAAUAGUAAUAACAACAAUAAUAAUAUAAACGAGUUAAAUAACACUAUGCAUUGUGGAAAUACAUAUGUUUUCGAUUCGGAUAUAAAUAAUAAUAACACUUGUGUUUAUCCGUAUAAUACUUAUAUACUUGGAUAUAAUGCAAAUUACAACUUACCAAAUGAGUAUACUGGCAAUAUUACUCCUAUCACUGCUAAUGAUUUAAAAAAAGUAAAAAAUGAAUUUUGUAUAAAUUAUACACAUAGUAAUAAUGACAACAAUAAAAUAUAUAACGUUGCUAAUAAAAAUGGUAAUACAGAUAUAAAUACAAAUAAUAUUCCUAUGUAUGAAAAUAUAUAUAAAGAAAAUAUAAAUGAAAAAGAUAUGUCCAUAAAUAGUAAGGGUACCAGUACAACUGUUAUGACUACAACUGCAAGUACUAAUAGUGAAAAUAAUAGUAAUAGUAUAUACAACAAUGACAACGCAUAUAACAGUCCCACUAACUGUAACAUUGUCACUAACAGUAACAAUGAUUAUAACUAUGAAAAAGGGAAUCUUAAAAAUAACAAAAUACACAACGAAUUAAGCACCUCCUUGAGUAAAACAGUUAGAAAAAAAAAAAGAGUAAAUACUAUCAAUAUUACUACCGAUAUUGAAAAUAAUAUAACUACUAAUUUUAAUGAAACCAUAAGUAUUAAUAAUUCUAAUGAAAAUACUACAAAUCCUGAAAUAAAUACUACUGAAUUGUAUGAACAAGCUAAACAUUUACCUAAAGUGAUUGGUGUAAGUUAUGACAGAAAACAAAACUUAUGGGUAUCACACUGGAGAGAUAAUUAUAAAACAUUACAUAAAUAUUUUUCAGUUAAAAAACAUGGUUUUCAUGGUGCUAGAUUAUUAGCUAUUGAUUGUAGAAGGCAAAUGAUAAGGAAUAGUGCAUCAGCCAAAUUUUUAAAAUAUCAUUUAUAUAAUAGUAUUAAUAAAAAUACUAUAUUAUAUGAUCACAUAUGUACCAAUAUAAACAACUAUAAAAACGUUUACAACAAUAAAAAAACUGAUAAUAAUAAUAAUAAUAAUAAUAUGAACAACAAUAAAACAGAUACUGUUCUUUUAAAAAAUGAUAGUAUUAAUAAUAGUGAACAAAUGGAGUUAUACGAAAAACAUAAUAAUUUAAAUAAAAUGAAAACAAUGCCAGCUAAUAAAAUUAAUCAUCAAUAUAUAAGAAAAAAAAAAAAAAGAAAAGAAAAUACUACUAUUUUGAAUAAUCAAAGUGUGUGGGAAAAUAAUCACAGUCCAUAUGAACAUAAUCACAGUCCAUAUGAACAUAAUCACAGUCCAUAUGAAAAUAAUCACAGUUCCUAUGAAAAUAAUCACAGUUCCUAUGAAAAUAAUCAAAGUCCAUAUGAAAUUAACCAAAGUCCAUGUCAGACAUAUUUUGACCAAAACAAUAUAAACUCAAAUAAUUUAAUCCAAGGGAAAUAUGUGCCUAGCCCUAUAAUGUAUAUAAAUAAACAAGAUAUACAAAUGGAUAGAGGCGUUCCUAAUAUACCAACUAAUAUGGAUAAUAAACAAAAACAUCUUAAUGAAACUUAUAAAAAUAAAAAAAAAACUCAACUUUUACCAUAUUCAAAUAAAAAAGAUGAAAUAUGUGACGCAAGUGGUAGUGGUAAAAAUAGUUGUAAUAAUAAAACUUGUUUUGGGGAAGAAACAAAUUUGUUAUUAUAUAACUCUGUAGGAGAAAACCACAAUAAUAUUCCUAUUAGUACUAACAAUGGUAGUGCUAAUGACAGUAAUAACAACAACAACAACAACAANNNNNNNNNNAAAUGGGAACGGAAAUGGGAACGGAAAUGGGAACGGAAAUGGGAACGAAAAUGGAAAUAAAAAUAGCAUUGAAAGUAGUAAUGGAAACAGCAAUGUAAGUAACGAUAAAGGAGAAAUUUUAGUAAAAACUGAAAUAGAACCAUCUUAUUUCAAAAACAAAAGUUGCUCGAAUAACACAUUAUAUAAUAAAUUAUUAAACACUGAAAUUUAUGAUAAAUUA
RNAcentral lists this long non-coding RNA (2068 nucleotides) under Piliocolobus tephrosceles (Ugandan red Colobus). Its description in RNAcentral is "lncRNA (ENSPTEG00000003992.1)". The record is from RNAcentral. Lineage: Eukaryota; Metazoa; Chordata; Mammalia; Primates; Cercopithecidae.